AGUUGAUGAGCUUGUAAAGCAUUUACCUUGAAAGUUUAAGAAAAGAAUAAAACCUUAUCAACUU
RNAcentral lists this transfer RNA (64 nucleotides) under Trigonopterus kotamobagensis. RNAcentral's name for it is "tRNA-Ser". Lineage: Eukaryota; Metazoa; Arthropoda; Insecta; Coleoptera; Curculionidae. The record is from RNAcentral.